This 247-nucleotide ribosomal RNA is filed under the name uncultured bacterium. RNAcentral's name for it is "partial 16S ribosomal RNA". It matches the Rfam family "Bacterial small subunit ribosomal RNA", at positions 1252 to 1500 of the family's 1533-position model. The record is from RNAcentral.
AAGUCGUGAGGCGGAGCAAACACAAAACACAGUCUCAGUUCAGAUUGUAGGCUGAAACUCGCCUAUAUGAAGUCGGAAUUGCUAGUAAUCGCGGAUCAGCAUGCCGCGGUGAAUACGUUCCCGGGCCUUGUACACACCGCCCGUCACACCAUGAGAGUCGAUAACACCCGAAGCCUGUAGUCUAACAGCAAUGAGGACGCAGUCGAAGGUGGGAUUGAUAAUUAGGGUGAAGUCGUAACAAGGUAUC